Molecule: long non-coding RNA, 411 nt
Filed under: Monodelphis domestica (gray short-tailed opossum)
Lineage: Eukaryota; Metazoa; Chordata; Mammalia; Didelphimorphia; Didelphidae
Description: lncRNA (ENSMODG00000033198.2)
Source: RNAcentral
CAUCAUGCUGGUGGCCUGCAUGUGCCCCAAGUGGGUCAUCUAGGGGCCUUCCAAGAGGGAUCUGUGGAAGAACAAAUCCUUGAUUUUUGGUCUCUGGGACAACUGUGUUCACUGCUGGAGGCCCAAUCAAUUGUCAAUACACCUCCUGGUCUCUCGAGGGAGCAUGUUUCUGAACCUCGUCUUCACGUCUCUCCUCAUUCUCUCCAUGCUGUGCUCCUUUCACCGAAUAUUCAGCCGGAUUUCCAAGCUGGAUGUCAUCUUCUGCAUCAUGAAUUACAUCUCAGGUUCUGCUUGGCAGCAGGCAGGUGAGGCUGAGGUUGGCCCAAUGACACCCAAGCAGAGUGACCCCAAAUCUCCCACUUCCUAUUGGCCUGCAGGAGAACUGACCUCGUCUCCAGAAGGUCGCCGUCU